Long non-coding RNA from Diabrotica virgifera virgifera (western corn rootworm), 871 nucleotides. RefSeq lists it as uncharacterized. The record is from RefSeq and is a predicted model, not a curated record. NCBI's taxonomy places the organism in Eukaryota, Metazoa, Arthropoda, Insecta, Coleoptera, Chrysomelidae. The transcript is spliced from 3 exons.
UCUACAGGUCGAGCAAGUCUCGUAAAUUUCACGAUUGCGAGCCACGCUUCACGCAACCGUGUUUGCGUACUUGUGUUACGAGUUGCGUGGUCGUGCGGAGUUAUAUUUACCAAAUUUAAAUAUAAUCGUUUUCAAAAUUAAAUCAAUAUGUCAAUAUGGCUACUGGGUGUAAAAGAUAAAUCUUAUUCUAUCUGUUCUUAAUGAGUUUUAGAUAAUUUUAGUUGUAUUUCUUUGUAAUUUUGUGUUGUACAAAGAUUAAUUUAACAUUUUCUCUGGAAGUAUUAAUUUAGAAAGAUAAUAUGCUUCAUUGGUGUUGUGUUUUGAAGUGUGAAAUGCAAAGCAAUUGUGAAAUGCAGUCAAGAUAAAGUUCACUUUUAAACUGAACUAAAUAAGGUAUCUGAGAGACAACAAUGGUUAAAUGCAAUACAAUGUACAGGUUUUACUAGCGAAAUGAAAAUUUUCCUGUCCUGUCUGCUGUAAUCAUUUUAUAUCUGGAAAACCAGCCGACUUAAUCGAUAAUAACAAUCUCCAGAUUGGGUUCCUUCAAUAAAUAUGGUCUAUAAACACAAUGAAAUAAGUUCCCCAAAAUCUAAAAUGGAGUGGUAUCAAAGGAGAAUUAAAGAGAAAAAUAUUCAUAUUGAAAUUAUUUAUAAGGCACUGGACUGUCUUAAAUUCUACAAUAAUACUAGAAUCAGCUGAGAGAAGUGGUCUACAAAAAACCAGGAAGGAAACGGAAUAUGUGGCUACGAAAGGCAAAAGAAAGGUUUACAAAGCAAAUGUGACACAUUUUUUUGAAAUAUUUAGGAAUAUCAGUAAAUUGCAUUAAAAAAAUGUAUGAAAAGAUUUUGUUCAAUAAAAAUGUUUAUAUUUA